GACGAACGCUGGCGGCGUGCUUAACACAUGCAAGUCGAACGGAAAGGCCCUGCUUUUGUGGGUUGCUCGAGUGGCGAACGGGUGAGUAACACGUGAGUAACCUGCCCUUGACUUUGGGAUAACUUCAGGAAACUGGGGCUAAUACCGGAUAGGAGCUCCUGCUGCAUGGUGGGGGUUGGAAAGUUUCGGCGGUUGGGGAUGGACUCGCGGCUUAUCAGCUUGUUGGUGGGGUAGUGGCUUACCAAGGCUUUGACGGGUAGCCGGCCUGAGAGGGUGACCGGCCACAUUGGGACUGAGAUACGGCCCAGACUCCUACGGGACGCAGCAGUGGGGAAUAUUGCACAAUGGGCGGAAGCCUGAUGCAGCAACGCCGCGUGCGGGAUGACGGCCUUCGGGUUGUAAACCGCUUUCGCCUGUGACGAAGCGUGAGUGACGGUAAUGGGUAAAGAAGCACCGGCUAACUACGUG
RNAcentral lists this ribosomal RNA (468 nucleotides) under uncultured bacterium. RNAcentral describes it as "partial 16S ribosomal RNA". It matches the Rfam family "Bacterial small subunit ribosomal RNA", at positions 28 to 507 of the family's 1533-position model. The record is from RNAcentral.